Molecule: ribosomal RNA, 508 nt
Filed under: uncultured bacterium
Lineage: Bacteria
Description: partial 16S ribosomal RNA
Rfam family: Bacterial small subunit ribosomal RNA
Source: RNAcentral
GACGAACGCUGGCGGCGUGCUUAACACAUGCAAGUCGAACGGGCCUUGUCCCCUUUUUUUUUGGGGGUGGGGUUAGUGGCGAACGGGUGAGUAACACGUGAGUAACCUGCCCCUCACUUCUGGAUAACCGCUUGAAAGGGUGGCGAAUACGGGGUGUUCUGGCCUGCUCGCAUGGGUGGGUUUGGAAAGAUUCGACCGGUUUUGGUGGUUUUGGUGGGGGAUGGGCUCGCGGCCUAUCAGCGUGUUGGUGGGGUGAUGGCCUGCCAAGGCUUUGACGGGGGGCCGGCCUGCGCGGGUGGGCGGUCACCCUGGGACUGAGACACGGCCCAGACUCCUACGGGAGGCAGCAGUGGGGAAUAUUGCACAAUGGGCGCAAGCCUGAUGCAGCGACGCCGCGUGAGGGAUGGAGGCCUUCGGGUUGUGAACCUCUUUCGCCAGUGAAGAAGGUCCUGCUCUUUGUGGUGGGGUUGACGGUAGCUGGGUUAAUGAAGCGCCGGCUAACUACGUG